This 460-nucleotide ribosomal RNA is filed under the name uncultured bacterium. RNAcentral describes it as "partial 16S ribosomal RNA". It matches the Rfam family "Bacterial small subunit ribosomal RNA", at positions 338 to 795 of the family's 1533-position model. The record is from RNAcentral.
CCUACGGGUGGCAGCAGUGAGGAAUAUUGGUCAAUGGGCGCGAGCCUGAACCAGCCAAGUAGCGUGAAGGAUGACUGCCCUACGGGUUGUAAACUUCUUUUAUAUAGGACUAAAGUAGGGUACGUAUACCUUUUUGUAUGUACUUUAUGAAUAAGGAUCGGCUAACUCCGUGCCAGCAGCCGCGGUAAUACGGAGGAUCCGAGCGUUAUCCGGAUUUAUUGGGUUUAAAGGGAGCGUAGAUGGGUUGUUAAGUCAGUUGUGAAAGUUUGCGGCUCAACCGUAAAAUUGCAAUUGAUACUGGCAGUCUUGAGUACAGUAGAGGUAGGCGGAAUUCGUGGUGUAGCGGUGAAAUGCUUAGAUAUCACGAAGAACUCCGAUUGCGAAGGCAGCUCACUAAACUGCCACUGACACUGAUGCUCGAAAGUGUGGGUAUCAAACAGGAUUAGAUACCCGUGUAGUC